UAAGGAGCUCUCUGAUUGGUUGGAUAGACACAGGCUGUCUGCCUGGAUUUUUCUAGCUCAUAGCUUCGCCCUGCUAAGAAGCGUGUGUGCUUGUACAAAGGCUGUUCAGCCUCGAGAUUUACACUAGGCUCGACACGGAUAUGUGAAGAAUGAAGGGACCCUGCAGCGAAACGGAGAGCUCAACCUCUGACUGAGUGCCUGUUUUCGCAGUCUGACCACCUGUUGAAGAUGGAGGAUCACCAACAGGAGCGUGGAAAGAUUCCAGAAUCCACUCUGGCUGGAAUCCGGUGGGUAUGCAGUGUUUACAGAACAGUUCUCCACAGUUGCUGUCCACAUGGGUCAGUGGGACCAAGAAGCACUCUGCUAAUGUGGGACUCUGACCAGCAACAUCCAGCAAGACCCAGACAGCGUUUUCUAUCUCCCAGCUGGAGGUUUUGUUUGUCUGUGACUGGAGAGUCAGAUUUUUGUUGAGCUUCACACUUGCAGAGGAGAAUCAUCACCUCUGCCAACAAAGAAGCCUGGUGGAUGUUUGUUUACAGUCUGAUGAUGGGACAUCAUGCUCUGCAUCUUCAAAGUUUGCCUCCUCAUUAUUAUUCAUACCCAGUAAUGUGAAGUAUGCUUAUAUCUACUGUAACUGAACCAACCUGGUGCUCUUCAUUUAUGGAGGCUGUUGAGUCUGAAUGUUGGAUGUUGUGUAUCUCGUGUUCUCUGGGCUUUGUUGUCCUCAGUCUUUUCGCAGGAUCAGAAAACAAAACCAGGAGGCGCGUAAAUGUUUCUUCUCUAUGAUGUUUCUUCAAAUGUUUCUUCUGGAUGAUGAUAAGACUGUGACACGGGAUGCCACCUUUGGUCUUGUGAUGAAGCAAAGCUCAGGAAGAUGUGGGAUUAAAUGGUACCCACAUGUGUGCUGCUGAGAAGGAUGAACAGGGGCACCUGCAGCCAAAUCCAAGCCUCAGCAGUUUGUGCUCACAGAUGGUGAUGGUGUGGAGAGACGGUGGUGUUUCCUCAGAAGAACCAGCAGAGUCACAAAGGGCACCAGUCCAUCUCACCACCUUGACUUGCUGACUGAUGUUCGUCUGCACUGCACAGAGGAAAUCAACUGACCGAGGGUUCCCAGGCGUGAUUGGCUGUACAGAUGGCACUCACAUUCC
This is a non-coding RNA of Maylandia zebra (zebra mbuna), 1148 nucleotides long. NCBI's taxonomy places the organism in Eukaryota, Metazoa, Chordata, Actinopteri, Cichliformes, Cichlidae. The record is from RefSeq and is a predicted model, not a curated record.